This 22-nucleotide small nuclear RNA is filed under the name Arabidopsis thaliana (thale cress). RNAcentral describes it as "snRNA_12481". Lineage: Eukaryota; Viridiplantae; Streptophyta; Magnoliopsida; Brassicales; Brassicaceae. The record is from RNAcentral.
UACACGUGUCAGAGUCGUACAU